AUUUAAAUAAUUUAAUUAAAAUAUUGAUUUGUGGAGUCAAAAAUAUGAAUUAAUUUCAUUUUAAGUU
Molecule: transfer RNA, 67 nt
Filed under: Adhemarius dariensis
Lineage: Eukaryota; Metazoa; Arthropoda; Insecta; Lepidoptera; Sphingidae
Description: tRNA-His
Source: RNAcentral